UCCGCCCUGGCAUGUCGGCGGGGCUGCGGCCCCUGCGGCCCCUGGGGCCGCCCCGCACCCCCCGGGGGCACCGGCACCCCGCCUCCCCCUGCUCCGCCGCUGCCGAUCCGAGUGAGGUUUAGCAGUGCUUCCCCGAGUUCUGCUGCCUCUUCCAUCCGCCUCCCGCGAUGGCAUUUUCAGCACGAGCCGGAGCUGCUUCAGUAGGCGGCAGGUUGUUUGGCUCUGCUGGCAGGAAACACCUGUCAGCGACUUGGCGCAGCGCUGGGACGACUUGUGUGUCAAACCGUGACAAACUUCGUUCCCCGCUUCCAAACGAAAACGAGUCUUUCCCUGGCGGAACCGCUUUUCGGUUCCAGUUUCCCUGCACCGGCCGGCCACGAAAUACGAUCCUGCUGUCGCUCUUCAGUCUGCCCCCUUCGUUCAAUUAAAGAUGCAUGAUGGAAAGCAAAAAGUAAA
Long non-coding RNA from Apus apus (common swift), 456 nucleotides. RefSeq lists it as uncharacterized. NCBI's taxonomy places the organism in Eukaryota, Metazoa, Chordata, Aves, Apodiformes, Apodidae. The record is from RefSeq and is a predicted model, not a curated record. The transcript has 2 exons.